RNAcentral lists this transfer RNA (68 nucleotides) under Marmota monax (woodchuck). RNAcentral describes it as "tRNA.Ala". It matches the Rfam family "tRNA". From Rfam's summary of the family: Transfer RNA (tRNA) molecules are approximately 80 nucleotides in length. Their secondary structure includes four short double-helical elements and three loops (D, anti-codon, and T loops). Lineage: Eukaryota; Metazoa; Chordata; Mammalia; Rodentia; Sciuridae. The record is from RNAcentral.
GAAGUAGCUCAGUGGUAGAGUGCUUGCCUAGCAUGCAUGAGGUCCUGGGUUCAAUCCCCAGUACUACA